CUUUGCCAUUUAAAUUAUUUUCUAUUAAUUAUAUUAUUUAAGAACUGUCAGCCGGAUAUAUAUUUUAUCACAUUUAUUUACCUGGAGGUAAGGUAAAGUACCAUGAACAUGUUGUUGAUACAAAUCGUGCUUCCUUGCUGUAUUUUGUUUGAAUACGUCACAGGUUGAGGCAGAAACUCUAAGGGACCAAGAUUACAAGUUUACACGGCUUCAAAUGAUGAGGUAGAAAUGCCAGACAAUAAUAGACUUAAAUGCACAGAAAAUGAGACGCAAACCAUCGCAUGUCGGAACGGAGGAACAUGUUUCGCUUCGUACAUAGACUAUAGAUUUGUUCGCUGUGCAUGUUCAAAAAAAUACAUUGGUGAACGGUGUGAAAUGAUAGAUAUUAAUAUAAUUUUUAAAGGAGGACAAGAAAAGGAGGAAACAGCAAAAGCAGGCCUAUGGUUGAUUGGGUUGAUUGCUGGUAGUGUUACAUUUGGCUCAGUCAUUGUGUUUGUCUUAACAGUAUUGAUAAUUCUUCAUAUCCACCAAAGAAUAUGUAAAUAUUCGAAACCAGAGUAAUGAGGCGAAAGGAUAAAAUAUAAUAAAAUUAAAAGUUCAUCCGGUCGGCAUUCAAUCAAAAGAGAAGCUGUAAAAACGAGGGGCAAAUAAAGUUUUUUUUUUUUAAUUUUACAAUUCACUACAUAAAAAUAAACCUUUUUGGACCCAAAUUAUCUAGUUUGCAUAAUAAAUAUCAUGCAACACAA
This is a long non-coding RNA of Mytilus californianus (California mussel), 746 nucleotides long. RefSeq lists it as uncharacterized. The record is from RefSeq and is a predicted model, not a curated record. Lineage: Eukaryota; Metazoa; Mollusca; Bivalvia; Mytilida; Mytilidae. The transcript is spliced from 4 exons.